RNAcentral lists this transfer-messenger RNA (352 nucleotides) under Acidobacteriota bacterium. RNAcentral describes it as "Acidobacteria bacterium transfer-messenger RNA". It matches the Rfam family "transfer-messenger RNA". Rfam says of the family: Bacterial tmRNA, also known as 10Sa RNA or SsrA, is named for its dual tRNA and mRNA-like properties. Its role is to liberate the mRNA from a stalled ribosome. Lineage: Bacteria; Pseudomonadati; Acidobacteriota. The record is from RNAcentral.
GGGGGCGACACGGUUUCGACGGAAGCUGUCGCGGCCCGAAGGCAUGCCGGGACCCACCUGCCCGUAACUUGGUGGAAACUAGAACUGCCAACAACAACUUGGCACUUGCUGCUUAAUUAAUUAAGCGCACGCUUCCCCGGGCUUUGCUCAUGGGCCCGGCAAGAGGCGUCACACAGUGAGCUGGCCUGAGCCUUUCGGUCCGUAAGGCUCGGGCGAGAACCAUCGGACUAGCCGGCUGCGUUUCUUGCUCAUUCUGAGCGUGGCGGGCGAACCAAACGGAAUUGAGCUAAGCAUGUAGGCUUCGUGCCGUAGCGCUUUUCGGACGGGGGUUCGACUCCCCCCGCCUCCACCA